RNAcentral lists this ribosomal RNA (245 nucleotides) under uncultured Gammaproteobacteria bacterium. RNAcentral describes it as "partial 16S ribosomal RNA". It matches the Rfam family "Bacterial small subunit ribosomal RNA", at positions 1164 to 1407 of the family's 1533-position model. Lineage: Bacteria; Pseudomonadati; Pseudomonadota; Gammaproteobacteria. The record is from RNAcentral.
UGGAGGAAGGUGGGGAUGACGUCAAGUCAUCAUGGCCCUUUACGACCAGGGCUACACACGUGCUACAAUGGCGCAUACAAAGAGAAGCGACCUCGCGAGAGCAAGCGGACCUCAUAAAGUGCGUCGUAGUCCGGAUUGGAGUCUGCAACUCGACUCCAUGAAGUCGGAAUCGCUAGUAAUCGUGGAUCAGAAUGCCACGGUGAAUACGUUCCCGGGCCUUGUACACACCGCCCGUCACACCAUGG